Molecule: long non-coding RNA, 467 nt
Filed under: Pan troglodytes (chimpanzee)
Lineage: Eukaryota; Metazoa; Chordata; Mammalia; Primates; Hominidae
Description: long non-coding RNA NONPTRT002099
Source: RNAcentral
UGAUUUUUUUUUUUUUUGAAGGGUUUUUUGUGUCUCUUUCUCCUUCAGUUCUGCUCUGAUCUUAGUCAUUUCUUGUCUUCUGCUAGUCUUUGAAUGUGUUUGCUCUUGCUUCUCUAAUAUUCUUCCAUCCCUUUAUUUUGAGCCUUUAUGUGUCUUUGCAUGUGAGAUUGGUCUCCUGAAUACAGCACACUGAUGGGUCUUGACUCUUUAUCUAAUUUGCCAGUCUGUGUCUUUUAAUUGGGGCAUUUAUCCCGUUUAUAGUUAAGGUUAAUAUUUUUAUGUGUGAAUUUGAUCCUGUCAUUAUGAUGCUAGCAGGUUAUUUUGCCCAUUAGUUGAUGCAGUUUCUUCAUAGUGUCAAUGGUCUUUACAAUGUGGGUUUUUUUUUUUUUUUUUUUUUUUCCAGUGGCUGGUACUUGUUUUUCUUUUCCAUGUUUAGUGAUUCCUUCAGGAGCUCUUGUAAGGCAGGC